GACGAACGCUGGCGGCGUGCUUAACACAUGCAAGUCGAACGGAAAGGCCCUGCUUUUGUGGGGUGCUCGAGUGGCGAACGGGUGAGUAACACGUGAGUAACCUGCCCUUGACUUUGGGAUAACUUCAGGAAACUGGGGCUAAUACCGGAUAGGAGCUCCUGCUGCAUGGUGGGGGUUGGAAAGUUUCGGCGGUUGGGGAUGGACUCGCGGCUUAUCAGCUUGUUGGUGGGGUAGUGGCUUACCAAGGCUUUGACGGGUAGCCGGCCUGAGAGGGUGACCGGCCACAUUGGGACUGAGAUACGGCCCAGACUCCUACGGGAGGCAGCAGUGGGGAAUAUUGCACAAUGGGCGGAAGCCUGAUGCAGCAACGCCGCGUGCGGGAUGACGACCUUCGGGUUGUAUACCGCUUUCGCCUGUGACGAAGCGUGAGUGACGGUAAUGGGUAAAGAAGCACCGGCUAACUACGUG
This 468-nucleotide ribosomal RNA is filed under the name uncultured bacterium. RNAcentral's name for it is "partial 16S ribosomal RNA". It matches the Rfam family "Bacterial small subunit ribosomal RNA", at positions 28 to 507 of the family's 1533-position model. The record is from RNAcentral.